GCCAGUUAAUCCUACUGCUACCCCAUCUAAGAAGAGGAAGAAGAUGACCACCAAGCCCACAACAACUGUGUCAGUAAAGAAAACCAUACCGAAUCCAGCAGUGAAAGAAGCAGAGGAACCUACACCAUUGGUUCCUAAAAAAGUGAAGACCGACCGCCCGAAGCAAGUGUCCCAGAAGCCUGGCUCCCAAGGGAGCUAGAAACAGAAUUAAACCCCCAGUGACCAAGUGCGUGUAAAAUCUGCCGGACCCAGGAAGUACAUACAAAUUACCCGAAGCAGAGAAAAAGAGGGAAAUGAAGUGAAAAGCGCCAGCAAUCUACCAGACCGAAGAAAUGACAAAGACGCUGGCAGAAAGCAAAAAUGAAACAAGGAGCAAAUAAAAAAAGAUCAAAGGCAUAACGGACAAAUCAUGAAGAAGGAGUGCCCUAGGGAUCCGAGCCUCAACUAUAUAAAGGGACUACUCCUUUGAAGAGAGUAUCAUUCUACACCAGCUUCACAUACUCCUUAGUUUCAUUUCUAGUUAGCUCACUUCACACGCACUUGGCACCGAUGGGAAAUUCUGGACAGGCUUGGCGGUAGUUAGUUUCUGUGGUGUAACACCGUCCUCACGGGGGCUAAUAUACAAUCAUUUACUUUUCCAUUGUUUUAUCUCUCGUCGUGAACUUCUUUGCCGGAAGCUCGGCGACUGCUUUUGUGUUUGAACCUUAUUUCCGUGGUUAUGGCAGUUUAUAUUUUCUGUUUUA
Salvia splendens (bonfire salvia) is the source of this 743-nucleotide long non-coding RNA. RefSeq lists it as uncharacterized. NCBI's taxonomy places the organism in Eukaryota, Viridiplantae, Streptophyta, Magnoliopsida, Lamiales, Lamiaceae. The record is from RefSeq and is a predicted model, not a curated record. The transcript is spliced from 2 exons.